CGGAGACGCUCCGGGAGCAGCCCCACCCGCCCCUGGGGAGGCCAGAAAUCCAGAGCGUCAGCACUUUCUGGCACUUUCUGUGGGGUGGCCAGGACCGUACGCCUGCUCCGUCACCGUCAGCGACGCCGGCCCAGCUCCCGAGCUACACGCAUGUGGACGGCGGUGCACCCAGAGCUUACCGAGUUCACCCUCGCCUUCAUCGUGGCUGACCUCUGACCCCUAACCUUUCUCUGACCACCUGGCUCCCAGAGACAACCAGCUGGACUUUGGCCAACAUCAGCAAUCGGAGAAAACCGACCUGGUGUGACAUAGGGGUUGUGAUUUUCAGCAUAAAUCAGGAUAAUUCUGGAACCUUCCACUACAGAUCUCCCAGAAUCCUCGGGGCAGGCUCAGUGUCCUGGUUUUGGCUGGGAACGGGGAACCCCCAGCAUGCGGGUCACCAUCACCCAGCGCGACAGGGACACACGGAGACGGCUGAGAAACGGCCAGAGGGUGGCGCUCCAACCUGAAAGGUCUCUGUCAUCAGGCCUCUGCCAGAGUGUCAUGCCCACUCAGUCCCCUGUGAUCACGCCGGCUGGAGGAACCCUGAGGGUCGCCCGUAAUUGACCUCACACCGUAUCCAUGAAGUAUCCAUGAAGUCCAAGCCCGGCCACCCCCUCAAGGCCACCUCCCAACACGUGACCAAUCAACCAUACCCCACUCGCGUGUGACCGCCACACGUUUCCUGAAGCGUGCCAAGCGGCCAUCGCUGACGGCGGGCGUGGGGACAGAGGUCAAAGAGCACAGUAGAGAGGAUCCUUCUAUCUACCACCCCCAGUCAGGAAGUACAACCUGAUCCCCCACCCCGCUGUGUCCCUAAAGCUGGUACAGAUCCAGCACCGCAGUCCAGCUCCCCCCGCCUGUCCUCACCGUCCCAACAGCUGAUUUUCAGCAGACGGACAUGUUCAGACAUCCCCUAUUAGGCAUUUGCGUAGCCAAGGUGCGACUGAACACGCAGGAAUAACGAAGAGACGGGGAAGACGGGGAUUCCCCGGACAGAGCGGCGAGACCUGGACCGAAUCGUCUCGGGACAAUGGGCGGCAGGCGGCACAUGCUCUCACGUCAAGGUUAAUUGAGAGCUACUGGGAGUGAGGCCAGGCACGCCGUCGCCCAGCAGACACGCACAGCGCUUAUAAGGAGACGCGGCCCUUUCUCUGGUGGCGUGUAGAUGGCAGCCAGCUCCGAGCGGCGGGUGAAGGCCGCAGUGACGUCACAACACAGGGCCACCAGGCCGCACGAGACCUGCAAAUCCACGAGAUGCUUUUGCUGGAAACCAUGGACUUCCAAACCACUCCAGUCUAACCACAAUCCUAAAGAUAUAACCCUGAUAUCAGGCAAGACUUGGGGGGGUUGCGGGUCAUGUGUUCGCCCCCUAUAGGCUAGUCACGUGGCUGCAAGGACGUUCAUCCCGUGAGACACAGGAAUCCCAUGCCAUACAGUGUCACUGGUGCAGGUGAGGACACGUCCUGCCGCACAGAUGACACGUUUCGCCAAACGCCGCUCACCUGCCUGCCUUUUCACUUGAACUUUAAUGUUUUAUUCACUGGAAGCCGCCUUUAUUCACUUACACGGGACAGAACAAAGACUAACAUUACUCCGCGUUGCGUAAAACCCUUUCCAACAGCCGCAGUUGGCUCUUAACAUUAAUUUCUUUGUUUUUAAAAUUAUUGCAAUAGUACGGUAGAUUGCCAAACUGCCCGGCAAAGCGUUGUGUAAUCCCUUUGACACAUGGAAAAAGACGCCGUUCUCACAACUAAUGCUUCUGGGGAACAGCGGAUCAGCAGAAUCGGACCUUACUGUAGACCUGACACGGGGCCAAGGUGCACGCUUUUAGCUACUGACGAGUUUCCCCAAACCCCAGAUCCCAGCAGGGGCCGGCUCGGAAUUCCAGAUGACCGGCUGAUAACCAGCUCUUCCUAAAACACCCCCCCCCCCUCCGGAAGCUGCUGUCCAAUCUGCCACGGCCAUUAUCCAGGAUGCGUGAGACACAAUGGAGACAGAGUAUAGACCUGGGAAAGAGUGAAAGGUCUGUGUAAAUACUGUGAGAGUAGAUCUGCACGUGAAUAAAACUCUACGUUAUGUCCUGGACAAGAUAAAAUCCUAAAGAUUUCAGAGAUCAGUGUUAAGAUUGCAUUAACGCUGUGCGUUUGAUGCUGUUUCGAGGAAUCUCCUUGUAAUGUGUCAAGUAGCCAAUUAAGCAGCAUUUAAACAACGUCCAAUACAUUUUAUGAUUUUCUGUCUAAGGUGCUGCAGGGUUUAUGCAUGGUCUGAUACCAGCUGCACGGACGGAACAGCAUCAGCAAGGCUGUGCAGAGGCGCCAUUAGCGAAGCCCAAAGUCAGGGGCCAUCGGACAGGCAUCAGAAAACAUCCAGAGACACACUGUGUUACUGUGGAAGCGGUUAUCAAGUGCCACGUCACAACAGCUUUGUUUUAAAUAUCCCAAAAAAAUCAUGCUCAGAAUAGACUAGCAUUUGGCCUGCUGUUUUCAAUUGAUUUCAACUAGCAAGAUGCAGCAGUACAAUACCUAACUGCUUUGCUCAACAGGAAAAGAUGUACGAGAUGUACAGAUAAUCCACUAUUUUUAAAAUGAUGAAAUCAUGUAUGUCCUUUCACGUCUUGUUUGCAAACACUUCAUUUUGGCCACUUCUGUUUUUCGGCAAAGGCUACUUUAUACACCCGCAAAACAGCACCAACUAGCGUUAGUAAAUGUACGCGGGUUAAUUUCGGUCUUCACUUAAGAGUGGGUUUGUACGAAUACGCGCAAAGACGCACCGGGUCCCGCAGCUCUGCGCCUCAUUGAAAACCACCCAAAGAGGCACGUCAACGAAACUCUCUAAUGGGCCCGAUACCGGAUAAAAUGUCCGCCUAAUUUCCAUCUCAAUGGAUCAUGGAAAUAAACCCCAGUGCGUAAUGAGCCGACGUUUAGAGAUUAUUUAAAACUCUGAAAGGACUCCGGGUACCACUGCAGAGGAGACAAACUGGUUCAUAAUAUAAACGAUGGAGCUGGGGGGAAAUGGGCUAUAUGCAGGUCUACAUAACUGGCUUCCUUGAUGUUUAGAUACGUUUCACAGAAAUGUUUGAUUUGGUGUUAAGUUUUUGUGAGAAAAUGCGCUAAAGCCUACAUAAAUCACGGCGUUUGGCACAAGUACAGCUGGGAGGCAAUUGAGUUGGAGCAAAUCCAGGUUACAAUGUAAAAGUAUUACAAUGAUAAACGUUGCCGUGACUAGA
Molecule: non-coding RNA, 3268 nt
Organism: Paramormyrops kingsleyae
Lineage: Eukaryota; Metazoa; Chordata; Actinopteri; Osteoglossiformes; Mormyridae
Source: RefSeq, a predicted model, not a curated record